UAUAUAUUGUAUAUAUAUCGUUUUAUUUUUCAUUUUUAAUUCCAUAAUAAACGCAGAUAACAAGACGACGAGCACCAUCCAUAAUACCUGUGAACAUUAACAUAAAGCGUUAACGUGAGUAUAUAUAUCGACUGUCGCCACUGCACCCUGCAUCAUUUGCUUACCGCUAUCAGAGCUUCAAGCCAAAUUAUACACAAAAUGUCUCGCACAAGCUUAAUACUUCUUCUUGUUUGUUUCGUGUGCGUCGCCGAGAUUUCAAAUGCGUACUUCGUCAAAGAAAGCAGUAGCAGUGUAGUUCGUCAAUCAUGUGCUAUGUUUGGAUCAACUUGUAAGAGCGAUGGAGACUGCUGCAAUGAAUCGUGUGUCCCAAUACUGAAGAGAUGUGUUAAAUUCUAGUUGGCCCAAAAGACGUUUCUGUCUGAACUGUCAAAUCCAAGAACUGUCGCAUACCCGAAGUUGAAAAAGACAAUUUUAUGCGCCAUUUUCUUAAAUUAUCAUUACGUAAGAACCUUUUACAAAGUAUUAGAUUUAAAAAAAAAAAGAUAAAGUAAAUCAGUAAAAUUAUUAUCAAGUUGUGACGUGACCAAGAGAAAUAUCCAUUCAUUUCUAUAUCUUGUAUCUGUAGCUUUAUACCCUAAUCAAAAUAAUAAUGUGUGUGUGUAAAUACAGUUAAUACAAUAAAAUGAAUUGAAAUAUACCUUGUCUAUUUACUGAAAUCAAGUUAAUACAUUCCAAAGUCAUGUUGGAAUUGAAAUGAGAUAAAUCUGGGCACGUGGCUUG
RNAcentral lists this unclassified non-coding RNA (780 nucleotides) under Melitaea cinxia (Glanville fritillary). Its description in RNAcentral is "misc RNA ENSMCXG00005020038.1". Lineage: Eukaryota; Metazoa; Arthropoda; Insecta; Lepidoptera; Nymphalidae. The record is from RNAcentral.